Molecule: ribosomal RNA, 301 nt
Filed under: uncultured bacterium
Lineage: Bacteria
Description: partial 16S ribosomal RNA
Rfam family: Bacterial small subunit ribosomal RNA
Source: RNAcentral
CAGUAGCCACGGUAAUACGGAGGGCGCGAGCGUUACCCGGAUUUACUGGGCGUAAAGGGCGUGUAGGCGGCCUGGGGCGUCCCAUGUGAAAGGCCACGGCUCAACCGUGGAGGAGCGUGGGAUACGCUCAGGCUAGAGGGUGGGAGAGGGUGGUGGAAUUCCCGGAGUAGCGGUGAAAUGCGCAGAUACCGGGAGGAACGCCGAUGGCGAAGGCAGCCACCUGGUCCACUUCUGACGCUGAGGCGCGAAAGCGUGGGGAGCAAACCGGAUUAGAUACCCCCGUAGUCCCUGUCUCUUAUAA